AUAUAAAAAUCGAUCUUGUGGAAAUACUUAAUUUAGGUGCGUCUGUACAACGUUGCAAUGUUACAGCGAUUGAAAUAUGUUUCUAGUCGCGUUCUAAGAGUUGAUGUAGGUUUUAUACACUGUCAGUUAUCUAUUACACAAUUUGUUGCAAAGUCACUUGCGAUGCUGAUAUGGUAAUUUCUUUAUUAGUUUAAAUUUACCAAAAUAUUUGAUGACAUAGAAUUAACACGUUCUUCGAUCGUAAUUUUGGAAAUGUAAUAGAAAUAUCAACUUCUUAGGAUUAUACCAGCAUGUAGAAAUACUUAUUGGCGAUAGUGUACACUGUAAUAAUUUUCUCAACACCGUCAUGGAUACGAGAAAAUGUAAAAACGAAAGAAGAAUUAACAGAGUCUAAUUAUAAACCGACGAACGACUUUUCUAUUGUCGUUAUUCUUCAAGGCAUAAAAACGCUAUAACAAACGAGGGUAACACAGCGAAAAAGACAAGUGCAGGCAAGGGGACUUUGGAUGUUGGCGUCCUAUUGUCUGGUUCUUCUGCUCGACCAGGUCGAGAGCCCUUCUCGGGAAGAGCCCCCAUAUAGACUGAACCGACCACUUGUUCCGAUCGGUCCGAAACAAUCUGAAACUGACAGGACUAUGGACCAGCCGUGGGCUUCUCGCAGCGAGCUGACGAUACACGGAUAAGGAGAAACACUAAUAUCAUCGAAUAAAUAAAAGUCGAUGUAUCAUAACUAAGAUCAUAAUUAACUAUAUCUAUAAAUAACUACGAUUCUGGUGCGGUCUUGGAAUGUUCUACGUCACGAUGAGAUACACAUUAGUAAUGAUUCUUUCAUGAUUUUCAGAUCAAAUUUAAGAAACGGUUUGCAGCAAUAAGGAGACAAAAGAGAUCCGCAUCUUAAUUGAUUUUUUGUUGGUUUACUCGAAUUAUUGGAAAACGGAGCUGCCUCCUUGUUACAGCAGCCACUUCAAUCUUCUAACGAUAGAAAAAUACGAUUUCGUCGAAAGUGACCGAAAGAAUCCGGUAGGGCUAAUCAAUUACAGAUCGAUCGGACACGAAGAUAUAUACACAUGUGCGUGGAAAGAAAGAGAAAGAAAGAGAGCGAAGGAGAAGAAGAGGAGGAUAAUUACGGAGCAGAAAAUUGCAGGGUGACUUAUACUAGCAGAAGUUUGCACGUCGCGAAUGAACCGGCUCUUGGUGGGUUCAGGAUCAGCGAGACAACGGUAAACCACCGUCGUUGGUCUGUUGUCGUGAUGAGGAGCAAGAAAGAGACAAAAGAGAUGGCAGAGAAGGGACGAGUAACGAGAAGAAAGAGGCAGAGGAAGAAAGAUGGGAAAAAGGGAGGGAGAAAAAGCGAGAGGGAAGAUCGCAUACCUGAGUGAACAGGUGUGCCGGAGUGGACGACGAGUGAGUUGCUGUCCAGCCGACGGCGGCUUGGCCAACGAGCAGCCUGUUAAGUCCCUUCGUGCACGAAGAGCAGGGACGCAAUCACUUCGCCGAUUUUAGAAUUCGCGACCGAUUGGAAUUCCACAGAGGAAAGUAAAAUCCCUCUGAAAUCGCUUGGGACUGUUUUAACAACCGGCUAUUGCUUUAAGUCGAACGUCUCCCGUCAGAGAUCGUAAAGUCCCGCAAACGUGCAAGAUUAAUGUCGUUCGUUGAACGCUUCGUUCUUCAUUUUCUUCCAUAUGGAUUAUAUUAAGUUUUGAUAAUUAAGUUUUGAGAUUUUUAGGAUUGUUUUUAAACUUACACGUACAAGAAUUCGUUGUAAAGUAAUCGAGAUGUCUGAUCGUAAACGGCAUAUUUUAAAUCCGAGUACACAGAUCUUAUCGAGAAGUUUUCAUUCGUUAAAGAAAGUUAAAUUAAAGAAAGAUUUAUAGUUA
Molecule: long non-coding RNA, 1877 nt
Organism: Bombus terrestris (buff-tailed bumblebee)
Lineage: Eukaryota; Metazoa; Arthropoda; Insecta; Hymenoptera; Apidae
Exons: 2
Source: RefSeq, a predicted model, not a curated record